Molecule: transfer RNA, 66 nt
Filed under: Coenobita brevimanus
Lineage: Eukaryota; Metazoa; Arthropoda; Malacostraca; Decapoda; Coenobitidae
Description: tRNA-Pro
Source: RNAcentral
UAGGGAGUAGUUUAAUAAAAAUUUUAGUUUUGGGAAUUAAAGACAAGGUAAACACCUUCUCCCUAA